This 596-nucleotide long non-coding RNA is filed under the name Hordeum vulgare. RNAcentral describes it as "long non-coding RNA (HVUL_LNC014458)". The record is from RNAcentral. Lineage: Eukaryota; Viridiplantae; Streptophyta; Magnoliopsida; Poales; Poaceae.
CUGUAGUGGAUAUUGAAAGCUCACGCCGCAGUUUCGUCGCUGCGUCUGUUCGCUUCACAUCCCGUCGCUGGCCUCUCGUCUCCUUCUCCUGCGCCUAUAAAAGAGAGGUCGCUCCUCUCCAGAGACGACGCAUCAGAAGUUCCCACUCGCCACCGGUUCUUCUCUCUGUGCUGCUGCUACGUUCUUCCUCAUCCCGUCCUGCGGCGUGCACCGUUCGUCGGGACAGUAGGCCUCCGAAACUCCGUCUCUUCGAGUCCUGUACGGGAGAAGGGCGAUAAGGUUUUUGGGGAGCUCUCAUCACGACUACUGGCUUCCAUCACGGACUCCGACGAUCUCUUCCCGAACGACGACUACUUCCCCGACGUCGACCACCUCUUCGGUACCAUGGCCAACGACAACGCCAACACCAAUCCUCCUGCUGCUGCAACUCAGUACGUACUCAUGUGCUUCUUCUUUGAAUUCCUAUCACACCUUUUUGCUAUAGUUUCUCUGCUAGAUAUGUUCCGUUUCUACUCAUUACUCCAUAUGAUACCUUAUCUUUGUAGAACGGUUUUACAUAUGCUCUUUUCUGGAUCCUACGUGCACAUGUCUUGUGU